AUUGAACGCUGGCGGCAGGCCUAACACAUGCAAGUCGAACGAGUGGCGGACGGGUGAGGAAUGUCUGGGAAACUGCCUGAUGGAGGGGGAUAACGACUGGAAACGGUAGCUAAUACCGCAUACCAUCAGAGGUGCCCAGAUGGGAUUAGCUAGUUGGUGGGGUAACGGCACACCAAGGCGACGCUCCCUAGCUGGGCUGAGAGGAUGAACAAGCAACCUGGAACUGAGGAACGGGCCAGGCUCCGACGGGGAGCGAGAGGGGGGAGUUGUGCGCAAUGGGGGGCAGCCUGGUGCAGCCCUGCCGCGUGUAGUAAAGAGGCCUUCGGGUUGUAAAGUACUUUCAGUGGGGAGGCGUUACCCGCAGAAGAAGCACCGGCUAACUCCGUGCCAGCAGCCGCGGUAAUUC
Molecule: ribosomal RNA, 406 nt
Filed under: uncultured bacterium
Lineage: Bacteria
Description: partial 16S ribosomal RNA
Rfam family: Bacterial small subunit ribosomal RNA
Source: RNAcentral